Molecule: non-coding RNA, 45 nt
Filed under: Schistosoma mansoni
Lineage: Eukaryota; Metazoa; Platyhelminthes; Trematoda; Strigeidida; Schistosomatidae
Source: RNAcentral
AUCCAACUGACGAGUCCCACACAGGACGAAACGCGCGUCUUGGAU